This 563-nucleotide ribosomal RNA is filed under the name Exobasidium rostrupii. RNAcentral describes it as "LSU rRNA". It matches the Rfam family "Eukaryotic large subunit ribosomal RNA", at positions 88 to 642 of the family's 3401-position model. Lineage: Eukaryota; Fungi; Basidiomycota; Exobasidiomycetes; Exobasidiales; Exobasidiaceae. The record is from RNAcentral.
GGCGAGUGAAGCGGGAUGAGCUCAAAUUUGAAAGCUGGCAGCAAUGUCCGCGUUGUAAUCUCGAGAGUUGUUUUCCGCGCUGGACCACGUACAAGUGCCUUGGAAUAGGCUGUCAUAGAGGGUGAAAAUCCCGUACUUGAUGUGGACGCCCAGUGCUUUGUGAUACAUCUUCGAAGAGUCGAGUUGUUUGGGAAUGCAGCUCAAAAUGGGUGGUAAAUUCCAUCUAAAGCUAAAUAUUGGGGAGAGACCGAUAGCGAACAAGUACCGUGAGGGAAAGAUGAAAAGCACUUUGGAAAGAGAGUUAAACAGUACGUGAAAUUGUCAAAAGGGAAGCAUUUGAAGUCAGACGUGUAUUGUAGUAUUCAGCCUUGCUUUUGCUUGGUGUAUUUGCUAUUGUACAGGCCAACAUCAGUUUUGAACGACGGAUAAGGGUAUUUGGAAUGUGGCAUCCUGGAUGUGUUAUAGCCUUUUACGGAUACGUCGUUUGGGACUGAGGAACGCAGCGCGCCGCAAGGCAGACCUUCGGGUACUUUCGCGCUUAGGAUGUUGGCGUAAUGGCUUUA